Molecule: ribosomal RNA, 497 nt
Filed under: uncultured bacterium
Lineage: Bacteria
Description: partial 16S ribosomal RNA
Rfam family: Bacterial small subunit ribosomal RNA
Source: RNAcentral
GAUGAACGCUGGCGGCGUGCCUAAUACAUGCAAGUCGAGCGAACGGACGAGAAGCUUGCUUCUCUGAUGUUAGCGGCGGACGGGUGAGUAACACGUGGAUAACCUACCUAUAAGACUGGGAUAACUUCGGGAAACCGGAGCUAAUACCGGAUAAUCUUUUGAACCGCAUGGUUCAAAAGUGAAAGACGGUCUUGCUGUCACUUAUAGCUGGAUCCGCGCUGCAUUAGCUAGUUGGUAAGGUAACGGCUUACCAAGGCAACGAUGCAUAGCCGACCUGAGAGGGUGAUCGGCCACACUGGAACUGAGACACGGUCCAGACUCCUACGGGAGGCAGCAGUAGGGAAUCUUCCGCAAUGGGCGAAAGCCUGACGGAGCAACGCCGCGUGAGUGAUGAAGGUCUUCGGAUCGUAAAACUCUGUUAUUAGGGAAGAACAUAUGUGUAAGUAACUGUGCACAUCUUGACGGUACCUAAUCAGAAAGCCACGGCUAACUACGUG